CUCUCCCCGCAUAUACACAUAUAUAUGAUUUACAAUAUUGAUCCGAUCAUCUUUUUUUCUUUCUCUUCAUCAUUUUCUACAUCGCAAUCUUCAAUCAAUGGAAGAUUUCAUCAUCGAUUCAUUGAAAAAGAAUCUCAGUUGCCGAUUUACUUCUCUUCCGAGUUCUCUCUCACCUGGUAUCGAAAACCCUAGGUUAAUUUAAAACCAAAGGUUUUACCAAAGCUGUAUGUGCAGAGCAUCUUGAGUUGAGAAAAGAAAUAUUGACUUUAUUGAAUCUUCAGAAACAGAUUGAGAAGCUUUUAAAGAUGAAGCUAUAGAAGAAAAGGGUGAGCAAGCCAAUGUUUCUAGUCACUCUCAAGUUUGCAGUCAAUGUUUCUAGUGACCUUCAGCAAUUCAUUUUUGCUACUUUGAAGACAUCGAUUGGUUAAUUCACUCUCUAUCAAGGUAUGCAUUAGAUGAUAUUGGUUUUGGAUCUCAUGUGCAUCUCAGUUUGUGUCAGAGUUGAACCCAUAUGAAUAGGUAGUUAGGUACUAACAGAGAAGUAUGAUUUUUUACCAGUUCUGUUAAAAUAUCUUGUCUACAUAGAAUUAUUUUUUAAGCAUGCAGUUAUAUUUGGAAAUUUGAUGGGUGUACUAUUGAUCUUGAGGAAAACCUUUCAAGGUGAUGUUUCCAUCGCUUUCUGUUCUGCAUGAAGAAAGCAGAUAUCUCACAAUAAUUUCAGGGAGCCACUAUUCUGCAGAGACUUUUUCCCAGUUAAUCAUUGGAAUUGAAACAAACAGAUCCUUACAUUUCUACGUCUCCCUGCAGACUUGAAUCGAUGCUCCCUUUUUGCUAAAUUUAAAUAAUGCCCUUCUGUGCAAAUUCUUUUUGCCCAUUUCUUCACUUCCAAAUUUAUGCAGUUUGAAGGAUCAAAAUUUUAGUAUGUUGUUGGGUUUUUGAACUUCAAAUAGAUGUGUAUUAAAUUAACAAAAAAUAAUAUAGUUUGUUUUCUGUAAUUUCCUUGUUCAACUGUUAUUGGAAUGUAGUUAUGAUUGCAUAGUGCCCAAUAUGUGGAGUGGAGCAUACCAGUGCUGGGGAAAAGAGAAUAGAGAAGCACCCCUGAGAACCGCAUGCCCACCUGGGGUUCCAAAUGGUGUUGUGAGCAACUUUGAGAUUAAAGCAUUUGAUGGGUGUGCAAAUCCACACUUGGGGCUGGCUACUAUAAUUGCUGCUGGGAUUGAUGGCCUUCGUAGACAUCUGAGUUUGCCCGAACCCAUUGGAUUUUCAUCAUUACUCUAUGACUAUAGACGGUGAUAAGCUUUUGUGGUCAUGGAACAACUAAUUGUUUAGGGCAUGUUGCUCUUGUAACUGAACUAGUGAAGAGGUGGUGCGAGAGAAAGACAAAGUUGAAGUCAUGUUGAACUAAUUUGAUCUUGUUUUGGGAUUUAACUCAUAUAAUGAACUAUGUUGAAGUGAAUUUGGAUUCUUAGAGUUUUGAUUUUUGUUUGUUUUUUGUA
Non-coding RNA from Camellia sinensis, 1496 nucleotides. The record is from RefSeq and is a predicted model, not a curated record. NCBI's taxonomy places the organism in Eukaryota, Viridiplantae, Streptophyta, Magnoliopsida, Ericales, Theaceae.